UCUUGGUUUUGUAUUCUAGAGAGUAAUACAAUUUUUCUGCUCUUAUAUAUUAUGAGAGAGUGUUGAAAUAUCGAUUUAGAUUUUGACCAUCAAGUUCUGAAAUUUUACUGUAUUUAAUUCCAAUUGAUCCAGGACUUCUACUUCAUACGUGAAAGUGAAAAUUUGAGAAGACAUUAAGUCAUCAAUACACCACCAAAGAAUUAAGAAGGUAUCAUCGAAUGUAAAAAGGUCCUACAUUGUUGUGUUAGAUGAAGGAACAUGCCAUGUCCUUGUAUAGCUCAGAAAAAAUGCACAAAUAAACAGUUGGUAUUACAGGAUUUCCAUCGACUUUGUUGGGAUUUGCUUCUUUUCAUGAUUUUACAAGUCGACAAACAAUGAUUAUGUGCUCAAGGAACUUGAAAACAUGAAGGAACAACGGCUUGCACAUAGAAAUAUGCUAUGCUAUGCCAUACUAGAUAUGCAUAAAUGUCACCACAAAGAAAUCAACUAUUUCUAUUGCAAAAGCAAGCUAAAAGAGCUAAAUCAAAAAGGCGGUGACUCUUGUAGAAUUCAAAUAAUACACUAUCUUUGUCACAAGUUCAGAGUCAUGACAAAAAUCAAAGUGUGGUUUGAACUUCCUUCAUCAGCUAGAGAUAAAGGUCAGAAAAGUUAAAUUUCCAUAUAAUUUUGCUUGUGUAUGUAUAGGUAUACAUACCUUCAUAGAUAAAUUGAUUUACUAUCAUUUAUACUAUUUUGUCUUCCAUCAUUUUGGAGGACAUGCUUCCGCGGCUACACAAUCAACUACUUGCACCUCAAACUUUGAAGUAGGUGAGUCGGAAGGGAAUUGGAAAAUUCAAAAUAGAAAGACUCAAUCAGAUAUGGUAGGUACUUUACAUGGUCUGUGGUGAUAUUAAGUACAAAUCAGUUCUAUCUUCUUCCGGACAUAAUUACCCUCUAGAUAAUGUAAGAAUUUAAUAUGAUUUGUAAAAAUUAGUUCUCUUUCUUUGGGACAUAAUUACCACCAACUAAUAUAAGAAUGUGACUAUGAUUUUAUCUUCCCAAAUGUCAGUCACUUGGAUGUAACUUGAUUUCACUGGGAAUAUGAUUUUAUUUCCUCGGAGAGGUUUCAAAUACAUUGCUUCAGUAUUUCUUAUAAAAGAAGGCAUAUUGUUAACUUUAGCUGGUAAAUAUCAGAUGUUAGCCUCAAAUCUCAAUUGAAGGGGAAAUGACUAGUUCUUCUAAGCAUUUUAAAAGACUAUGCUAUUUAGAUUGAUCAUAACUAUUGCUUUGUAAACAGAUACACUGCAUAUGGAAAAUGGAGUCUUGAUUCUCAAAGUAAAAUUGAAAUUGGCUUCACGACAAAACUCAUAAAGAUCUUGAUGAUAAUUCACAGUCUCAGUUGCGAAGAGCAAAAAAUAUAACUAUUUUGUAAGCUCUCUUUGUUCAUGCUUGUUGUUUAUCCCUGAGUUUAUUUCAAUUUAAGACAAUAUUAGUCAUUCAUAGACUUAUCAGGCUUUGCUAUGAAGUUUGAAGCUUUAAGGAUCGUCGUCGUUUAAGUUUUCACUUUAUUUUUUUGUUGAAUUCCACGACCAACUUCCUAAGGAGCUCAAGAGAAAUCAUAUUAUUGUCAUUACUGGUCAGAUGAUGCAUUCUAGGAUUUUUAGGGAAGUUCUCCUCUGCCUCUGCAGUUAGCUCGAUUGCAUAUGUAAUGGUCGAAUUUCGAGAUGUUUAUCCUAAGGUUUCAGGUUUUAUCAGGUUUGACUACUAGAGUAGCUCAUAGUGAUAGUCUGUUACUUUCAAGUCCAUUUUUAACCGUCGAUAGAAGAUUUUGUUACCUGCAAUAGAGACCACCCGUGAGGAUAUCAAGAUUUAGUUGUGGAUCUGUGUCCAGGUAAAUUUAACACCGCUUGCAAUUUGAUCCGUGAGAUACUGGCUUGCUGUUAACCUACCCAAUGUCCAUGUUAUCGUGCACAUUAUAGACAAAUAAAAGGUAAUUGAUUAUUCUACUAUUAAAUUUAUCUUCCUACUUAUCUAUAUUUUGCAACUAGACUUUACUUGAGCUUCUAACAUAUCAUCUUUUAAAUUUGUCUUAGACUUUACAUGUAAGAUAAUUCAUUUGCAAUCGAAGCAUUAGUACAACUGAUUAACCAAAUAGAGAAUCCUCCCAGUCAUAGGUCUCCUUAGCAAAUAAUCCUAAUGACUCCUUGUGGCCUUUUGUUUUGUUAUAUUUGAUGAAAUAUUUACUAAAACAUGCAAGUCAGAAUUCUUUGUUCUCUCUUAUUUAUGGUUGUCGAGUUAUCACUAUGCAUUAUUUUAUUAGCUUGCUCUAUCUUAGGAUAAUCUUCAGUCAUUACUUCAGGCUUUUUAUUUUAUUUUAUUGAUAAACUAUAACUUUAGGCUUCUUUAUUAUGUUUAUGGAUCUUUUUUUGUUUUGUGUUUGUUCUUGAUAAUUUAAGUUUAUUGGAAUUUUUGGAGAAAACUAUACUCUUAUUUUGAUCAUAGUUCUUUUGUUAUUAUGUUCCUUAAGUGUCUUCCUGGGAGUUCACCACGUUAGCAAUCCUUUGAGUUUUAUACCCUAGCCUCUUACGCCAUCUCAAUUAUUUUUGCAAGAGAAUUAACCUGUCUUAUGAAGUUUAGAACCUGUGGUUAAACUCAAAACACAUGAUAGAAAGCCACAUCAACAAUACAAGUGUUAUCUUAUUAUUUGAGAUAUUGGUACCUUUAUUUAUUAAGAAUAUAGAUAUUUUCGAUGAAUGAAAAGCUUUCAUAAGAAAAGCAACUCUUCAGUGAAGAUUACCAAAAGAACAAGGAGAAGUGCAUCUACAAAUUCAUGACACAAAAGCAUUGUGUUCAUAGUUUGAUGCUCUGUAUGUUUGUAAUGACAUAGAUGAACAUGAUUCUCCCUUUGUGUGCGAGUCUCAGCAACUCACUAGAAAUAUGGUUAAUACUUGAUCUAUAUGCAAGAAUACUUUAGUAAAUUUGUUAUUUAAACAUUUCAUGAAAGAUAAUUCAAAUUUUUACUAGCUGAUUUUUCCUUUUGGUUCAUUUGGAUUCUUAAGUGUGGAGAGAAAACAUAUAUAUCUCUAUUUGACAUAGACAAUCAAGUUGUGGGACUACACUGGGUAUGUUGUUGUUGUUGUUGACAGAGGUGAUAAAGUUGAAGAGUGAACAUAUUCGUGGAGCUUUUUCCAGAAAUAACAGAUGUGAUCUUUCCCCAAACAAUUUCAUGGAAAUUAUCUCCUUGGCUGUUAAAUUUGUGUGUUGUUUAUCGAAAUACAUAAAAUUUACUUGAUUGUACACAUUUUUUUGGAUUAGGUGCUCAUACUUUGAUCAUUAGAAAUUAUAGGUAUCUACACAUCUGGCGCUAAAAGAGUUUUGCCUCUCAAGCGUGGUUGCACUUCUCUUCACAUGUGACUUCCCACAGGGGAUCAUUGCCCUUUGAUGAAAAACAAUGGUGCUUGAGGAUUAUUUGUGUGUUAAUGGAGUCAUCCUUUCAAUCUUCUUAAUUUUUUCAUUUUCUAGGGAGUUAUGCUUCAAUACGUUGAGAGUUUGAUCUCUAAAACUCCAAGAAAUUUGAUCUACAAUGAUUGAUUUCAACUUUAUCACUGGCCUGUAAAUUGCAAGGGAGGAUAACUUUACAAGUUGUAUCUAAGACCCUUAACUAUCGGAUGGACAAUUUUAUUAGUUAUUGUUAGGUUAAUUUUGUUCCAAUGAAGGUAUUCUUAAGGGUAAACUUGUAUGUACUUAGUUGAGAUACUUCUACGUCAAUAUAUCUAUAAAUGCUUAUA
Molecule: long non-coding RNA, 3767 nt
Organism: Solanum tuberosum (potato)
Lineage: Eukaryota; Viridiplantae; Streptophyta; Magnoliopsida; Solanales; Solanaceae
Exons: 3
Source: RefSeq, a predicted model, not a curated record